AUUGGACUGCGGCCGAUCAGGCUGUUGGUGAGGUAAUGGCCCACCAUACCUAUAACCGGUACGGGCUCUGAGAGGAGAAGCCCGGAGAUGGGCACUGAGACAAGGGCCCAGGCCCUAUGGGGCGCAGCAGGCGCGAAACCUUUGCAAUAGGCGAAAGCCUGACAAGGUUACUCUGAGUGAUUUCCGCUAAGGGGAUCUUUUGACACCUCUAAAAAUGGUGUAGAAUAAGGGGUGGGCAAGUCUGGUGUCAGCCGCCGCGGUAAUACCAGCACCCCGAGUGGUCGGGACGAUUAUUGGGCCUAAAGCAUCCGUAGCCGGUUUUACAAGUCUUCCGUUAAAUCCAGCCGCUCAACGGAUGGGCUGCGGAGGAUACUGUAGAACUAGGAGGCGGGAGAGGCAAGCGGUACUUAGUGGGUAGGGGUAAAAUCCACUGAUCCAUUGAAGA
Molecule: ribosomal RNA, 445 nt
Filed under: uncultured archaeon
Lineage: Archaea
Description: bacterial SSU rRNA
Rfam family: Archaeal small subunit ribosomal RNA
Source: RNAcentral